RNAcentral lists this ribosomal RNA (524 nucleotides) under uncultured bacterium. RNAcentral's name for it is "partial 16S ribosomal RNA". It matches the Rfam family "Bacterial small subunit ribosomal RNA", at positions 28 to 523 of the family's 1533-position model. The record is from RNAcentral.
GACGAACGCUGGCGGCGUGCCUAACACAUGCAAGUCGAACGGACAGACAGAGAGCUUGCUCUCUUGAAGUUAGUGGCGAACGGGUGAGUAACGCGUAAUCAACCUGCCCUUCAGAGGGGGAUAACAACGGGAAACCGUUGCUAAUACCGUGUACGAUUCAUGAACGGCAUCGUUUAUGAAUGAAAGGUGGCCUCUAUGUAUAAGCUAUCGCUGAAGGAGGGGAGUGGGUCUGAUUAGCUAGUUGGAGGGGUAACGGCCAACAAAGGCAAUGAGCAGUGGCCGGUCUGAGAGGAUGAACGGCCACAUUGGGACUGAGACACGGCCAAAAGUCCUACGGGAGGCAGCAGUGGGGAAUCUUCCGCAAUGGACGAAAGUCUGACGGAGCAACGCCGCGUGAGUGAUGAAGGUCUUCGGAUUGUAAAGCUCUGUUAAUCGGGACGAAAGAGUUCUGCGUGAAUAAUGCAGAAAAGUGACGGUACCGGAAUAGAAAGCCACGGCUAACUACGUGCCAGCCGCCGCAGUAA